AACGAACGCUGGCGGCAGGCCUAACACAUGCAAGUCGAGCGCCCGUUCGGGGGAGCGGCGGACGGGUGAGUACCGCGGGGGAAUAUGCCCUUCUCUACGGAAUAGCCUCGGGAAACUGAGAGCAAUACCGGAUACGCACUAUGGGGGAAAGACUUAUCGGGGAAGGAUUAGCCCGCGGGGGAUUAGGUAGUUGGUGGGGUAAUGGCCGACCAAGCCGACGAUCCAUAGAAGGGUUGAGAGGCUGGUCAGCCACACUGGGACUGAGACACGGCCCAGACUCCUACGGGAGGCAGCAGUGGGGAAUCUUAGACAGUGGGGGCAACCCUGAUCUAGCCCUGCCGCGUGAGCGAUGUAGGCCUUGGGGUUGUAAAGCUCUUUCAGCUGGGAAGAUAAUGACGGUACCAGCAGAAGAAGCCCCGGCUAACUCCGUG
Molecule: ribosomal RNA, 431 nt
Filed under: uncultured bacterium
Lineage: Bacteria
Description: partial 16S ribosomal RNA
Rfam family: Bacterial small subunit ribosomal RNA
Source: RNAcentral